RNAcentral lists this long non-coding RNA (1038 nucleotides) under Oncorhynchus mykiss (rainbow trout). RNAcentral describes it as "lncRNA (ENSOMYG00000073340.1)". Lineage: Eukaryota; Metazoa; Chordata; Actinopteri; Salmoniformes; Salmonidae. The record is from RNAcentral.
AUGCGCACUGUGUCUCGGCCGAGCAGUCACAGGCCGGUGUGCUCGGUGCCAGCGUCCCGCAUUUGCCGGGUGGAAGCUGGCAUCCAGCCAGAACGGGAGUGGCCAGCUAUGCGGUCGAGACCGCCAGUGCGCCUCCACGGCCCUGUGUAUCCGUUGCCUCGGCCAAGGAAGAGGCCGCCUGUAUGUCUCCCCAGCCUGGUGAGUCCUGUGCCUGUUCCCAGAACCAGGUCUCCUGGGUCUCCCUCCUGUCCGGAGCUGCCAGAGCCGCCCUCAUGUCUGGAGCUGCCAGAGCCUCCCGUCAGUCCGGAGCUGCCAGAGCCUCCCGUCAGUCUGGAGCUGCCAGAGCCUCCCGUCAGUCCGGAGCUGCCAGAGCCUCCCGUCAGUCCGAAGCUGCCAGAGCCUCCCGUCAGUCCGGAGCUUCCAGAGCCUCCUGUCACUCCGAAGCUGCCAGAGUCGCCCUUCACUCUGGAGCCGCCAGAGUCGCCCUUCACUCUGGAGCCGCCAGAGUCGCCCUUCACUCUGGAGCCGCCGGAGUCGCCCUUCACUCUGGAGCCGCCAGAGUCACCCUUCACUCUGGAGCCGCCGGAGUCGCCCUUCACUCUGGAGCCGCCGGAGUUGCCCUUCACUCCGGAGCUGCCGGAGUCGCCCUUCACUCUGGAGCCGCCGGAGUCGCCCUUCACUCCGGAGCUGCCAGAGUCGCCCUUCACUCCGGAGCUGCCAGAGUCGCCCUUCACUCCGGAGCUGCCAGAAUCGCAGUCCCUCAGUCCAGAGGCGCCCAUCAGUCCAGAGCCGCCCCUCAGUCCAGAGCCGCCCCUCACUCCAGUGGCGCCCUCUACGAGGCUCUUCAGUCCGGGGCCCGCUGCGAGGGUCAACGUCCCGCACCUGAGCCGCCGCCUUAAGGAAGGCCCACCCCUCCCCUCCCCUUUAGAGUCAGGUUUUGCGGCCAGAGUCCGCAGCUUUUUUUUUUGGGGGGGGGGGGGGGGGGGGGUACUGUCACGCCCUGGCCAUAGAGAGGCUUUUAUUCUGUAUUUUGGUUAG